UGCGAUGUUGGCUUAAAAAUCUGAAGCUCAAAGAUAGAUAUCUCUAUUUAUUCAAUAGAAAAGAUAUUAGUUUAAAAAAAAUUGGGUUACUUUUUAGAAACACUAAGGUUAACGUCUUCAGUCAAACGUUCUUUUUUACUUUGGGUCAUAUAAAAUUAUGGCCUCCCCUACUUCUUCAGUGGCCAGUUUCAAGAAUGAUUUCAAGCAUUAUCC
Molecule: long non-coding RNA, 213 nt
Filed under: Elaeis guineensis (African oil palm)
Lineage: Eukaryota; Viridiplantae; Streptophyta; Magnoliopsida; Arecales; Arecaceae
Description: long non-coding RNA (EGUI_LNC081558)
Source: RNAcentral